GAACACGGUUUUCGUUAUUCUCAGGUAACUUCUAAUCAUUCUCAAUAUUUCAGUUCAAUCAUCAUCUGAGGUUUCCCCAGACCGCCUUAUUAGAUGUUAUUACCUGAUCAUCCAUCCUUAUAAUGAUGGCAGUUUUACACGUUCCAUGUUGUUGGCCAUCUUUCCCGCUGUAUGUUGUAAUAAUGUCCUGAGACUACAACAUAAGAAAUCUUGUCUAACAUACUGGAGAAUUGGAGGCCAUCAGUCAGCAAAAGCACCAACUGCCAGACAUAUGAAUAAAGCCAUUUUCGUCCUUCCAGUUGAGUG
Molecule: long non-coding RNA, 306 nt
Filed under: Papio anubis (olive baboon)
Lineage: Eukaryota; Metazoa; Chordata; Mammalia; Primates; Cercopithecidae
Description: lncRNA (ENSPANG00000043900.1)
Source: RNAcentral